GCGGCUCGGUAGUCCAGUGGUUAGCACGUCGGCUUCACAGUGCAGAGGUACCGGGUUCGAUUCCAGCUCCGGCCUCCCUGUGUGGAGUUUGCAUGUUCUCCCCGGGCCGGCGUGGGUUUUCUCCGGGUGCUCCGGUUUCCUCCCACAUUCCAAAAACAUGCAUGGCAGGCUGAUUGAACACUCUAAAUUGUCCCUAGGUGUGAGCGUGGAUGGUUGUUCGUCUCUGUGUGCCCUGCGAUUGGCUGGCAACCGAUUCAGGGUGUCCCCCGCCUACUGCCCGGAGACAGCUGGGAUAGGCUCCAGCACCCCCCGCGACCCUAGUGAGGAUCAAGCGGUUAGGAAGAUGAAUGAAUGAAUGAAUGAAUGA
Molecule: long non-coding RNA, 367 nt
Organism: Hippocampus zosterae (dwarf seahorse)
Lineage: Eukaryota; Metazoa; Chordata; Actinopteri; Syngnathiformes; Syngnathidae
Exons: 2
Source: RefSeq, a predicted model, not a curated record